RNAcentral lists this non-coding RNA (24 nucleotides) under Arabidopsis thaliana (thale cress). Lineage: Eukaryota; Viridiplantae; Streptophyta; Magnoliopsida; Brassicales; Brassicaceae. The record is from RNAcentral.
AGAUUCGUCCUACAAGUGUACAAG